AAAUUGAAGAGUUUGAUCAUGGCUCAGAUUGAACGCUGGCGGCAGGCCUAACACAUGCAAGUCGAACGGUAACAGGAAGCAGCUUGCUGCUUCGCUGACGAGUGGCGGACGGGUGAGUAAUGUCUGGGAAACUGCCUGAUGGAGGGGGAUAACUACUGGAAACGGUGGCUAAUACCGCAUAACGUCGCAAGACCAAAGAGGGGGACCUUCGGGCCUCUUGCCAUCAGAUGUGCCCAGAUGGGAUUAGCUUGUUGGUGAGGUAACGGCUCACCAAGGCGACGAUCCCUAGCUGGUCUGAGAGGAUGACCAGCCACACUGGAACUGAGACACGGUCCAGACUCCUACGGGAGGCAGCAGUGGGGAAUAUUGCACAAUGGGCGCAAGCCUGAUGCAGCCAUGCCGCGUGUAUGAAGAAGGCCUUCGGGUUGUAAAGUACUUUCAGCGGGGAGGAAGGUGUUGUGGUUAAUAACCACAGCAAUUGACGUUACCCGCAGAAGAAGCACCGGCUAACUCCGUGCCAGCAGCCGCGGUAAUACGGAGGGUGCAAGCGUUAAUCGGAAUUACUGGGCGUAAAGCGCACGCAGGCGGUCUGUCAAGUCGGAUGUGAAAUCCCCGGGCUCAACCUGGGAACUGCAUUCGAAACUGGCAGGCUUGAGUCUUGUAGAGGGGGGUAGAAUUCCAGGUGUAGCGGUGAAAUGCGUAGAGAUCUGGAGGAAUACCGGUGGCGAAGGCGGCCCCCUGGACAAAGACUGACGCUCAGGUGCGAAAGCGUGGGGAGCAAACAGGAUUAGAUACCCUGGUAGUCCACGCCGUAAACGAUGUCUACUUGGAGGUUGUGCCCUUGAGGCGUGGCUUCCGGAGCUAACGCGUUAAGUAGACCGCCUGGGGAGUACGGCCGCAAGGUUAAAACUCAAAUGAAUUGACGGGGGCCCGCACAAGCGGUGGAGCAUGUGGUUUAAUUCGAUGCAACGCGAAGAACCUUACCUGGUCUUGACAUCCACAGAAGAAUCCAGAGAUGGAUUUGUGCCUUCGGGAACUGUGAGACAGGUGCUGCAUGGCUGUCGUCAGCUCGUGUUGUGAAAUGUUGGGUUAAGUCCCGCAACGAGCGCAACCCUUAUCCUUUGUUGCCAGCGGUUAGGCCGGGAACUCAAAGGAGACUGCCAGUGAUAAACUGGAGGAAGGUGGGGAUGACGUCAAGUCAUCAUGGCCCUUACGACCAGGGCUACACACGUGCUACAAUGGCGCAUACAAAGAGAAGCGACCUCGCGAGAGCAAGCGGACCUCAUAAAGUGCGUCGUAGUCCGGAUUGGAGUCUGCAACUCGACUCCAUGAAGUCGGAAUCGCUAGUAAUCGUGGAUCAGAAUGCCACGGUGAAUACGUUCCCGGGCCUUGUACACACCGCCCGUCACACCAUGGGAGUGGGUUGCAAAAGAAGUAGGUAGCUUAACCUUCGGGAGGGCGCUUACCACUUUGUGAUUCAUGACUGGGGUGAAGUCGUAACAAGGUAACCGUAGGGGAACCUGCGGUUGGAUCACCUCCUUA
RNAcentral lists this ribosomal RNA (1542 nucleotides) under Salmonella enterica subsp. enterica serovar Senftenberg. RNAcentral's name for it is "bacterial SSU rRNA". It matches the Rfam family "Bacterial small subunit ribosomal RNA". Lineage: Bacteria; Pseudomonadati; Pseudomonadota; Gammaproteobacteria; Enterobacterales; Enterobacteriaceae. The record is from RNAcentral. RNAcentral also lists the same sequence under 3 other names.